RNAcentral lists this long non-coding RNA (267 nucleotides) under Carica papaya (papaya). Its description in RNAcentral is "long non-coding RNA (CPAP_LNC001110)". Lineage: Eukaryota; Viridiplantae; Streptophyta; Magnoliopsida; Brassicales; Caricaceae. The record is from RNAcentral.
CACGGGACCCCGCUCAUUCCUUGAUCGACCCGGGCUAUAUAGAGAGGUACAAGAGACUGAACCCCUCCACCUUUGCAAGGGGAUCCUCUUUUGAAGAGGCCCAGUACUGGCUGGCAGAGACUGAGAGAGUUUUUAGGACCUUGGGAGUAGUUCUUGAGCAGAGAGCUGCCCUUGCUUCCUACAUGCUGGUAGGGGAAGCAGGACGUUGGUGGGAGCUCAAGCAGACCACCCUGCCUACACCAGUCACUUGGGAGCAGUUCUUAGCGG